UGCUAAUACCGCAUAUGUCAUAGCGACGAUGUCGCAUUGAUGAAAGGUGGGGACCUUCGGGCCCAUCGCUGGAGGAUUGGUUCGCGCCCCAUUAGCUUGUUGGUGAGGUAACGGCUCACCAAGGCGACGAUGGGUAGCCGGCCUGAGAGGGUGACCGGCCACACUGGGAUUGAGAUACGGCCCAGACUCCUUCGGGAGGCAGCAGUCGAGAAUCUUCGCGAUUUAGCGCAAGCUAGAGCGAGUGACGCCGCGUGUGGGAAGAAUGCCUUAUGGGUUGUAAACCACUGUCAGGAGGGAAGAAUAGCGGGUAGUCUAAUAGGCUGCCCGUGUGACGUUACCUCCAGAGGAAGCUCCGGCUAACUCCGUGCCAGCAGCCGCGGUAAUACGGGGGGAGCAAGCGUUGUCCGGAAUCAUUGGGCGUAAAGGGCACGUAGGCGGACUGGUAAGUCGGAUGUGAAAUCCCACGGCUCAACUGUGGAACUGCGUUCGAAACUGCCUGUCUUGAGUACGCGAGAGGUAUGCGGAAUUCCUGGUGUAGCGGUGGAAUGCGUAGAUAUCAGGAAGAACACCGGUGGCGAAGGCGGGAUACUGGCGCGAUACUGACGCUGAGGUGCGAAAGCGUGGGGAGCAAACGGGAUUAGAUACCCCGGUAGUCCACGCCGUAAACGAUGGGCACUGGGUUUUGGAGGUCUCAACCCCUUCAGAGCCGUAGUUAACGCGUUAA
Molecule: ribosomal RNA, 724 nt
Filed under: uncultured organism
Description: bacterial SSU rRNA
Rfam family: Bacterial small subunit ribosomal RNA
Source: RNAcentral